GCUCUCACAAGGGCUGCCGGGAGCUGCCAGGUCUCUUAAGAACAAAAGUGGCCGAUUGAGAGAAAAAAAAACCCAAAAAAGGCUUCUCUGUACCUCGAAGAUUUCGCUUAAUCGGGACCCGCCGAGCUGCUUCCGAUCAGCUGGUCUCAGGAACUGAGAUAAUUUCUCAAGCUCAUUUCUCAACGGAGAUCUGCAGGUUGAAAGUGGUUCCUUGAACAACCCCAGGCAAGCAGCAUCUCUCCUUUGCUCCCUGAAAAAAGAUAAAGCUGGGACUUCUGCCUAUUACUCUACAUCCAGCCGAGAUUUGGCACAGCAAUAAAUCGCAGCAGCCAUGGAGCUUUCUCCGCGUGACAAGAUCAAAAUGCCACUACAGGAGCAAGUCAACCUCAAGAAUAGCACCCACAGGCUCCCACAUCAUUCUAAUAUCUUGCUGGGAGAGACAGAAGGACCAGAUAGAUGCAAGUGGACAGUUUACAACUGCUAAUACUCAGGGACAAUCCCUAAAGGAGGAAGAGAGAGCUCCAAAGUUUGCACUCAUUGACAUUUCACAGUGAAGCUGCACACACAGAAUAUGCAUGAGAAGAGACAUUUAGAGGUGAUUCUUACCAAGCACUGAAAUCCCUUUUUAAAAGAACCGAAAAAGACUUUUUCUGGAACACUUUUGCUGGACAAGACCCAAUUCCUCUGGCAUCAACAUGAAGAAAUGCAGACUCUCUCAAAGCAGCCCAAGCCACAAAGCAUUGUAGGGCUGGCACGUCCAAAUCCACUCUGAAGUCAUGGACUUAAAAAAUCACUGUUCACCCCAAAACACUUUCUGAUCUAUAGUACUUAGUGCAAACCAAACAGAACAGUGACGACCGAGUAGCAGAGAUCCAAGAAACCUGUGGGAUUCACAUAAGAGGUGGCACUGAUAUAAGUCUAAUGAGGAGCUGCUGACCAUAGGAAAUACUCUGAUGAAGUGCAAGUUCACAUGGAGCAUGUUGCCAACAGAGACUGGGCAGUCUCCAGCUCUUAAGACCCAACUGGAUCAAGUCCUGAGCAACCCUGUCUGAUCUCAGAAUUGACCCUCAUGUGAGCAGGAGGUUGGAUGAGAGACUUCCUGAGGUCCCUUCCCAGCUGUUUUACCCCUAAUACUAAUAUGGAGGUUGGGAUUCAGUUCUCAAGUGGAGACGUCUAAAGUCAGGCAUUUAGUCCAUGCCAUGGAAAAAAGAGAUAUUCCACCUUAUUUUAAGGAAGGUUGGAAGAAUUUACCAUGGGGGGUACCCCUCUCUCAUCAUUCACCAAAAAAAACACAACCUGCUUAGACUCAGACAACUAACUGAGACGUCUACAGCAGGGAGUAAAUGCCACCAGGCCACUCAACCCACCAGUGGAAGAACCAAUAUCCAGUUUCCCCAGCUUGAGAGAUUCAUACCCAAACCUUUCAGGAACUUCCCAGUCACCAUGGAGGCAGCGCUAUGGCUCUUCAUUCUUCUUCCCAAAACUCAGAUGCUGAGUGGUGGAGAUGGAGCCCACCUGGCAACUUGGGAGGAUAUGAAGCUGGCCCCAGCCCCUAAUUUGCAAAUUAUCUUUUUUAUUCAGUUUUACUUGAAGCCGGUGACUCUCUCAUGCAAAAUACAUAAAUGGAUUUGCUCUUGCUGCAUUAUACUUGACUCAUUAUUUAUGGGUGGACUUUGCCUUUCCUCACAUCGAUAACUGCCAUUCACAUGAGCAGCUCCUUUAAAAGAAGGAUUUGCAUGAAAAUCAGCCUAGCAGGGCUGCGAGCCCAAACAACCUGCCAACAUAGGGGCAGUCACUGCUCAGGUGCUUCAUGAAGUACCACAAGCGCUACAAAAA
Long non-coding RNA from Columba livia (rock pigeon), 1836 nucleotides. RefSeq lists it as uncharacterized. NCBI's taxonomy places the organism in Eukaryota, Metazoa, Chordata, Aves, Columbiformes, Columbidae. The record is from RefSeq and is a predicted model, not a curated record. The transcript is spliced from 2 exons.